Molecule: ribosomal RNA, 2905 nt
Filed under: Salmonella enterica subsp. enterica serovar Newport
Lineage: Bacteria; Pseudomonadati; Pseudomonadota; Gammaproteobacteria; Enterobacterales; Enterobacteriaceae
Description: 23S ribosomal RNA
Rfam family: Bacterial large subunit ribosomal RNA
Source: RNAcentral
GGUUAAGCGACUAAGCGUACACGGUGGAUGCCCUGGCAGUCAGAGGCGAUGAAGGGCGUGCUAAUCUGCGAUAAGCGCCGGUAAGGUGAUAUGAACCGUUAUAACCGGCGAUACCCGAAUGGGGAAACCCAGUGUGAUUCGUCACACUAUCAUUAACUGAAUCCAUAGGUUAAUGAGGCGAACCGGGGGAACUGAAACAUCUAAGUACCCCGAGGAAAAGAAAUCAACCGAGAUUCCCCCAGUAGCGGCGAGCGAACGGGGAGGAGCCCAGAGCCUGAAUCAGCAUGUGUGUUAGUGGAAGCGUCUGGAAAGGCGCGCGAUACAGGGUGACAGCCCCGUACACAAAAGCGCAUGUGCUGUGAGCUCGAUGAGUAGGGCGGGACACGUGGUAUCCUGUCUGAAUAUGGGGGGACCAUCCUCCAAGGCUAAAUACUCCUGACUGACCGAUAGUGAACCAGUACCGUGAGGGAAAGGCGAAAAGAACCCCGGCGAGGGGAGUGAAAAAGAACCUGAAACCGUGUACGUACAAGCAGUGGGAGCACAGGUUUACCUGUGUGACUGCGUACCUUUUGUAUAAUGGGUCAGCGACUUAUAUUCUGUAGCAAGGUUAACCGUAUAGGGGAGCCGUAGGGAAACCGAGUCUUAACCGGGCGUUAAGUUGCAGGGUAUAGACCCGAAACCCGGUGAUCUAGCCAUGGGCAGGUUGAAGGUUGGGUAACACUAACUGGAGGACCGAACCGACUAAUGUUGAAAAAUUAGCGGAUGACCUGUGGCUGGGGGUGAAAGGCCAAUCAAACCGGGAGAUAGCUGGUUCUCCCCGAAAGCUAUUUAGGUAGCGCCUCGUGAAUUCAUCUCCGGGGGUAGAGCACUGUUUCGGCUAGGGGGCCAUCCCGGCUUACCAACCCGAUGCAAACUGCGAAUACCGGAGAAUGUUAUCACGGGAGACACACGGCGGGUGCUAACGUCCGUCGUGAAGAGGGAAACAACCCAGACCGCCAGCUAAGGUCCCAAAGUCAUGGUUAAGUGGGAAACGAUGUGGGAAGGCCCAGACAGCCAGGAUGUUGGCUUAGAAGCAGCCAUCAUUUAAAGAAAGCGUAAUAGCUCACUGGUCGAGUCGGCCUGCGCGGAAGAUGUAACGGGGCUAAACCAUGCACCGAAGCUGCGGCAGCGACACUGUGUGUUGUUGGGUAGGGGAGCGUUCUGUAAGCCUGUGAAGGUGUGUCGUGAGGCAUGCUGGAGGUAUCAGAAGUGCGAUGCUGACAUAAGUAACGAUAAAGCGGGUGAAAAGCCCGCUCGCCGGAAGACCAAGGGUUCCUGUCCAACGUUAAUCGGGGCAGGGUGAGUCGACCCCUAAGGCGAGGCCGAAAGGCGUAGUCGAUGGGAAACGGGUUAAUAUUCCCGUACUUGGUGUUACUGCGAAGGGGGGACGGAGAAGGCUAUGUUGGCCGGGCGACGGUUGUCCCGGUUUAAGCGUGUAGGUGUGUGUUCCAGGUAAAUCCGGUUCACUUUAACACUGAGGCGUGAUGACGAGGCACUACGGUGCUGAAGCAACAAAUGCCCUGCUUCCAGGAAAAGCCUCUAAGCAUCAGGUAACAUCAAAUCGUACCCCAAACCGACACAGGUGGUCAGGUAGAGAAUACCAAGGCGCUUGAGAGAACUCGGGUGAAGGAACUAGGCAAAAUGGUGCCGUAACUUCGGGAGAAGGCACGCUGACACGUAGGUGAAGUGAUUUACUCAUGGAGCUGAAGUCAGUCGAAGAUACCAGCUGGCUGCAACUGUUUAUUAAAAACACAGCACUGUGCAAACACGAAAGUGGACGUAUACGGUGUGACGCCUGCCCGGUGCCGGAAGGUUAAUUGAUGGGGUCAGCGCAAGCGAAGCUCCUGAUCGAAGCCCCGGUAAACGGCGGCCGUAACUAUAACGGUCCUAAGGUAGCGAAAUUCCUUGUCGGGUAAGUUCCGACCUGCACGAAUGGCGUAAUGAUGGCCAGGCUGUCUCCACCCGAGACUCAGUGAAAUUGAACUCGCUGUGAAGAUGCAGUGUACCCGCGGCAAGACGGAAAGACCCCGUGAACCUUUACUAUAGCUUGACACUGAACAUUGAGCCUUGAUGUGUAGGAUAGGUGGGAGGCUUUGAAGCGUGGACGCCAGUCUGCGUGGAGCCGACCUUGAAAUACCACCCUUUAAUGUUUGAUGUUCUAACGUGGACCCGUAAUCCGGGUUGCGGACAGUGUCUGGUGGGUAGUUUGACUGGGGCGGUCUCCUCCUAAAGAGUAACGGAGGAGCACGAAGGUUGGCUAAUCCUGGUCGGACAUCAGGAGGUUAGUGCAAUGGCAUAAGCCAGCUUGACUGCGAGCGUGACGGCGCGAGCAGGUGCGAAAGCAGGUCAUAGUGAUCCGGUGGUUCUGAAUGGAAGGGCCAUCGCUCAACGGAUAAAAGGUACUCCGGGGAUAACAGGCUGAUACCGCCCAAGAGUUCAUAUCGACGGCGGUGUUUGGCACCUCGAUGUCGGCUCAUCACAUCCUGGGGCUGAAGUAGGUCCCAAGGGUAUGGCUGUUCGCCAUUUAAAGUGGUACGCGAGCUGGGUUUAGAACGUCGUGAGACAGUUCGGUCCCUAUCUGCCGUGGGCGCUGGAGAACUGAGGGGGCUGCUCCUAGUACGAGAGGACCGGAGUGGACGCAUCACUGGUGUUCGGGUUGUCAUGCCAAUGGCACUGCCCGGUAGCUAAAUGCGGAAGAGAUAAGUGCUGAAAGCAUCUAAGCACGAAACUUGCCCCGAGAUGAGUUCUCCCUGAGACUUAGAGUCUCCUGAAGGAACGUUGAAGACGACGACGUUGAUAGGCCGGGUGUGUAAGCGCAGCGAUGCGUUGAGCUAACCGGUACUAAUGAACCGUGAGGCUUAACCUU